Molecule: ribosomal RNA, 504 nt
Filed under: uncultured bacterium
Lineage: Bacteria
Description: partial 16S ribosomal RNA
Rfam family: Bacterial small subunit ribosomal RNA
Source: RNAcentral
AUUGAACGCUGGCGGCAGGCCUAACACAUGCAAGUCGAGCGGUAGCACAGGGAGCUUGCUCCUGGGUGACGAGCGGCGGACGGGUGAGUAAUGUCUGGGAAACUGCCUGAUGGAGGGGGAUAACUACUGGAAACGGUAGCUAAUACCGCAUAACGUCGCAAGACCAAAGAGGGGGACCUUCGGGCCUCUUGCCAUCAGAUGUGCCCAGAUGGGAUUAGCUAGUAGGUGGGGUAACGGCUCACCUAGGCGACGAUCCCUAGCUGGUCUGAGAGGAUGACCAGCCACACUGGAACUGAGACACGGUCCAGACUCCUACGGGAGGCAGCAGUGGGGAAUAUUGCACAAUGGGCGCAAGCCUGAUGCAGCCAUGCCGCGUGUAUGAAGAAGGCCUUCGGGUUGUAAAGUACUUUCAGCGGGGAGGAAGGUGUUGAGGUUAAUAACCUCAGCAAUUGACGUUACCCGCAGAAGAAGCACCGGCUAACUCCGUGCCAGCAGCCGCGGUAA